ACUUGGUGUUGGAUAGGCCUUGGUUGUGCAAAAGUGCUUACAGUGCAGGUAGCUUUUAGUACCUACUGCAAUGUAAGCACUUCUAGCAUUACCAUGGCAAUUCAAUCAAUGAGU
Molecule: non-coding RNA, 114 nt
Organism: Ornithorhynchus anatinus (platypus)
Lineage: Eukaryota; Metazoa; Chordata; Mammalia; Monotremata; Ornithorhynchidae
Gene: MIR106
Product: microRNA mir-106
Exons: 1
Source: RefSeq, marked provisional